This is an RNA transcript of Mizuhopecten yessoensis (Yesso scallop), 2938 nucleotides long. It is a transcript of the gene named cardioacceleratory peptide receptor-like, with no coding region annotated. The transcript has 3 exons. The record is from RefSeq and is a predicted model, not a curated record. NCBI's taxonomy places the organism in Eukaryota, Metazoa, Mollusca, Bivalvia, Pectinida, Pectinidae.
GCUGACAGUGGUAACGUAAAUGUGCACAGAUCCACUACUAUAGGAUAUACUGUACUCGGUGGGGACACUGCACAUAACAAGAUAGAAGAUUGGCUUGCAGAAAUGAAGAAUACAACGUAUUUUUCAAUGAACACCCUUUUCAAUGGCAGCACACACCCUAGUACCUCACUAGUGACGUCAUCAUCCAACAUGACCGGAAAUACGUCAGAGGACGCAGACAAUUUAAUAAACACCUUUAUUUCGUCGGGUCUGAAAAUUGACGCAAUUAAUGACAAAUACUUUUCCACGGUUUUACUUCCGUCAUUCGUCUACGCAUGCGUACUCUUGACUGUUGGAAUUCCUGGGAAUAGUUUAGUGGUGUACGUUUACGGGUUUAAAAGCAAGAAAACUGUUUCCCGGUUAUUUAUUCUAACACUGGCAAUUCUUGAUUUAAUCAACUGUUUAUUUUCGAUAUCAACAGAACUUUUCCUUAUGUGGAAUUUUUUAAAAUUCGACUUCCCAGCAAUCUGUAAGAUAAGCCGGUUUAUAACAUCAUUCUGUAAUCACUCGACAACGAUUGUGUUGCUUACUAUAGCCAUCGACAGGUUUAGAAAGAUCCGCCAUCCACUUAAGACAAAAAUGAAGAUGUCCACAGCAAAAAGAAUUAUGAUUUUUUCGAUGAUAUUCGGAUGUUUAACAGGAAUUCCUUUUGCGUUAUUUUACGGCACAAAAACACUGGUGCUGACAACUGUCGUAACGGACACACAGAGAUUUGUGUAUGAGGGUAAAACGUGUCUCCCGCGUGACGGCUUGGACAUCAUCUACAAAGAGAUUCUGCUGAUAGUACUAUCAAUUGCGCAUGUUGUGAGUGACGUUAUCCUCGUUGUGCUCUACUCAUUUGUCGGGAAAGCUGUCCUAUCUAGCAACAAGUCUUUUCGUCGCGUAGAUCCUACAUCAAAUAAGUCUCACUCAAAUAGGAAAAUUAGCUUCGAACUUGGAAGACGCAACACCUCGCGUUCGAAUAGCACCUCUUCCGUACCUGGUAACGUCAGCAGAACAAACACCAUGUUAUUUCUGGUGACCCUCGUCUUUAUCCUGUCAUUCGUGCCCUAUUUGAUAUUGGCGUAUAUCCGGACAUUUCAAAGCGAGACUCACAACACUUCAUCAUUACAUAAAGCAAUUCAACAAUUGUUUCUCCGAAGUUACUUCUUAAACAGUGCGGUCAACCCGAUUGUGUAUUGUUUUGUGUGCAAACACUUUCGCCAAGAAGCGAUAACAGGUAUUCGCCGGAUGUUCUCCAGGAAUCAAACGAAGUAUCGGCCAAGUAGACCCACUGCAAUACAUAACUAAUGACUCGCGUAACGAGAACAAUUCGAGACUUGCUGUUCGGAUAUUGUGGUCCUUCAUUAAUGUAGGAAAUAUUGAUUCCAUGGUUCUAGGAAAUUCACCUCUUAAACGAGACAUAAUUCACUAUUUCAAAUAAUUCAUCUAUUACAUAUUAGUGUCUGUAUCUGUGUAAUAACUACCAUAUUUAUCAUAUGCAAGUUGACAACAGUUUGUUGACAGGUUGGGGUGACGUCAUACAUCAUUUGCAUGAACAAUAUUGUGAAAUACGUAAUAUAACAGGCAGUAUAACAUACAAGAUGGUGUACAAUGUAGAACGUGAUAUUAUGGCCUUGAACAAACAACAGGGGUUGUUAGAUGAUAGUAUGGCUUUCGGAGUAUUAAGUGAUAUUACGGCCGUGAACUAAGAAUACGGAUUAUUAGGUGAUAUUACGGCCGUGAACUAACAAUACGGAUUAUUAGUUGAUAUUACGGCCGUGAACUAACAAUACGGAUAAUAAGGUGAUAUUACGGCCGUGAACUAACAAUACGGAUUAUUAGGUGAUGUAACGGCCGUGAACUAACAAUACGGAAUAUUAGGUGAUAUUACGGCCAUGAACAAACAAUACGGAUUAAUAGGUGAUAUUACGGCCGUGAAAUUACGGCCUUGAACAAACAACAGGGGUUGUUAGAUGGUAUGGCCGUGAACAUACAAUACGGAAUAUUAAGUGAUAUUACGGCCGUGAACACACAAUACACCCCGGGGUGUUAGGUGAUAUUACGGCCGUGAACUAACAAUACGGAUUAUUAGUUGAUAUUACGGCCGUGAACUAAGAAUACAGAUUAUUAGGUGAUAUUACGGCCGUGAACACACAAUACACCCCGGGGUGUUAGGUGAUAUUACGGCCGUGAACUAACAAUACGGAAUAUUAGUUGAUAUUACGGCCGUGAACUAAGAAUACGGAUUAUUAGGUGAUAUUACGGCCGUGAACUAACAAUACGGAUCAUCAGGUGAUAUUACGGCCGUGAACUAACAAUACGGAGUAUUCGGUGAUAUUACGGCCGUGAACUAACAAUACAGAUUAUUAGGUGAUAUUACGGCCGUGAACUAACAAUACAGAGUAUUAGGUGAUAUUACGGCCGUGAACUAACAAUACGGAUUAUUAGGUGAUAUUACGGCCAUGAACUAACAAUACGAAGUAUUAGGUGAUAUUACGACCGUGAACAAACUAUACGGAGUAUUAGGUGAUAUUACGGCCGUGAACUAACAAUACGGAUCAUCAGGUGAUAUUACGGCCGUGAACUAACAAUACGGAGUAUUAGGUGAUAUUACGGCCGUCAACUAACAAUACGGGUGUUAGGUGAAAUAACGGCCGUGGACAAACAAUACGGAGUAUUAGGUGAUAUAACGGCCGUGAACUAACAAUACGGAGUUUAAGGUGAUAUUACAUAAUGCGGAGUAUUGCGCAAUAUUCCGGCCAUUAAGAAACUAUUCUGUUUGGAUAUUGAUAUUAUUGUGUUGAACUACGAACUAUGAAUAUUUGUUAAUUAUUAACCUUGUACUUUGCAUAUUAUUAUCCAAGGAAGAACAGUAGUUGUGUGAUUGUUAUGAAAUAAAAACAAUUAUCAGUAUGUC